RNAcentral lists this ribosomal RNA (260 nucleotides) under uncultured prokaryote. RNAcentral's name for it is "partial 16S ribosomal RNA". It matches the Rfam family "Bacterial small subunit ribosomal RNA", at positions 917 to 1178 of the family's 1533-position model. The record is from RNAcentral.
GGGCCCGCACAAGCGGUGGAGCAUGUGGUUUAAUUCGAUGCAACGCGAAGAACCUUACCUACUCUUGACAUCCAGAGAAUUUGCUAGAGAUAGCUUAGUGCCUUCGGGAACUCUGAGACAGGUGCUGCAUGGCUGUCGUCAGCUCGUGUUGUGAAAUGUUGGGUUAAGUCCCGCAACGAGCGCAACCCCUAUUGUUAGUUGCCAUCAUUAAGUUGGGCACUCUAACGAGACUGCCGGUGAUAAACCGGAGGAAGGUGGGG